GUGGGGAAUAUUGGACAAUGGGCGAAAGCCUGAUCCAGCCAUGCCGCGUGUGUGAAGAAGGUCUUCGGAUUGUAAAGCACUUUAAGUUGGGAGGAAGGGCAGUAAGUUAAUACCUUGCUGUUUUGACGUUACCAACAGAAUAAGCACCGGCUAACUUCGUGCCAGCAGCCGCGGUAAUACGAAGGGUGCAAGCGUUAAUCGGAAUUACUGGGCGUAAAGCGCGCGUAGGUGGUUCAGCAAGUUGGAGGUGAAAUCCCCGGGCUCAACCUGGGAACUGCCUCCAAAACUACUGAGGUAGAGUACGGUAGAGGGUAGUGGAAUUUCCUGUGUAGCGGUGAAAUGCGUAGAUAUAGGAAGGAACACCAGUGGCGAAGGCGACUACCUGGACUGAUACUGACACUGAGGUGCGAAAGCGUGGGGAGCAAACAGGAUUAGAUACCCGAGUAGUCC
Molecule: ribosomal RNA, 450 nt
Filed under: uncultured bacterium
Lineage: Bacteria
Description: partial 16S ribosomal RNA
Rfam family: Bacterial small subunit ribosomal RNA
Source: RNAcentral